CAGAGUACUACUAGCAAUAGCUUAAAACUCAAAGGACUUGGCGGUGCUUUAUACCCCUCUAGAGGAGCCUGUCCUAUAAUCGAUAAACCCCGAUAAACCUCACCAGCCCUUGCCAAUUCAGCCUAUAUACCGCCAUCCUCAGCAAACCCUAAAAAGGAACUGUAGUAAGCACAACCAUAAGACAUAAAAACGUUAGGUCAAGGUGUAGCCCAUGAGCUGGGAAGAGAUGGGCUACAUUUUCUUAUCAAAGAACACUUAAAAUCACAUACGGAAGCCCCCAUGAAACAAAGGGCAGAAGGUGGAUUUAGUAGUAAACCAAGAACAAAGAGCUUGGUUGAAUUAGGCCAUGAAGCACGCACACACCGCC
Molecule: ribosomal RNA, 367 nt
Filed under: Rhinolophus cf. hildebrandti
Lineage: Eukaryota; Metazoa; Chordata; Mammalia; Chiroptera; Rhinolophidae
Description: partial 12S ribosomal RNA
Rfam family: Bacterial small subunit ribosomal RNA
Source: RNAcentral